GACGAACGCUGGCGGCGUGCUUAACACAUGCAAGUCGAGCGGAAAGGCCUUGCGGUUUCCCCGAGCGCGGUACGGGAGAGCGUGAGGAGGACGCUCGGAUCCUCACCUUGGGAUAAGGCUAAGAUCAUGGGACUACUGCCCGAACUGCCCACCUUUUGCUGCUUCGGUGGUGGCAAUAUUUAGCGGUGGCGGUUGAGGAUGGGCUCGCGGCGUAUGAGCUUGUUGGUGUGGUAAUGGAAUACCAAGGCUAGGACGGGUAGCCGACCUGAGAGGGUGACCGGCCACACUAGGACUGAGACACGGCCCAGACUCCUACGGGAGGCAGCAGUGGGGAAUAUUGCACAAUGGGCGAACGCCUGAUGCAGCGACGCCGCGUGCGGGAUGACGGCCUUCGGGUUGUAAACCACUUUCAGCAGAGACGAAGCGGAAGUGACGGUACCUGCUGAAGAAGCACCGGCUAACUACGUG
RNAcentral lists this ribosomal RNA (468 nucleotides) under uncultured bacterium. Its description in RNAcentral is "partial 16S ribosomal RNA". It matches the Rfam family "Bacterial small subunit ribosomal RNA", at positions 28 to 507 of the family's 1533-position model. The record is from RNAcentral.